AGCUAGAGUAUCUGCUCAGAAGUGAUUCAGGACAAGAGUAGCAAGGUGCCCUGGCAAAGUAGGGGGAGGACAGGACUGGGGUGUGCAGGCAGAACAGCGUGUGGGCUAAGGACUCAGCUCGCAGCCUAGGCUUACACUGAAUGGACACCCAGUUGCAGUGUCUUGAGACUUCCGACCAGACCCUCCUGCACUUCACCCAACGCCUUCCAGGAAGAGCAGGAACCCUGAAGUGCUGAGGCUGACGUGAAAAUGGGAAUGAAUGAGGUAGAGGCAGCCAGGACCGGCCAGGGGGGUAGCUGCUCCUCCAGGAACCUGCCUGCAAAGACCCCAUGCAUGGCAUCUUUAAGUGGGUCAGGGCCCUGAAUCUAGCCAAGUCCCAGAUCCUGUGUACAUCCCUCACGUAUCAGGGUCAUGCCGUGGCGUACUCUGGUUUGCCAAGGCGGUAGCUGAGCAGGCUUUUUGACAGUAAGUGCAUGGGAGUGCACACACGUCCCAGCAGAGUGCCAGUUUUAGGUCCUAAAAUAGCAAAUUCCAGCUGACUGCUUUCAAGGCAACCAGGCAGCACAUGGUGUUGUGGGAACAUUGCACAAAUCAGCAGAGAAGCUAGCUGAGCUGCCAGCAAGCAAUACAAAAAAGGAAAAGAAAGAAAGGGGCGUGUGUCUUGUCUGGUUAGUAGAAGCUCCUUAAAUCAAGGCACUGAGGCUCGACAGUGAGGGACAUGAACUAUGUUUGAUUCUUUCUGUGUGUAC
Mauremys mutica (yellowpond turtle) is the source of this 749-nucleotide long non-coding RNA. RefSeq lists it as uncharacterized. The transcript is spliced from 6 exons. The record is from RefSeq and is a predicted model, not a curated record. Lineage: Eukaryota; Metazoa; Chordata; Testudines; Geoemydidae.